RNAcentral lists this transfer RNA (103 nucleotides) under Candidatus Dormiibacterota bacterium. Its description in RNAcentral is "tRNA-Gly". The record is from RNAcentral. Lineage: Bacteria; Bacillati; Candidatus Dormiibacterota.
GGGUGAGUAGUCGUCUAACGGCCAUCUCUGCCCUUCCCGAAUACAGAACUGAGCCGCUACCUUGCCAAGGUAAGGGUCGCGAGUUCGAGCCUCGUCUCCCGCU